This 928-nucleotide long non-coding RNA is filed under the name Trifolium pratense (red clover). RNAcentral's name for it is "long non-coding RNA (TPRA_LNC006831)". The record is from RNAcentral. Lineage: Eukaryota; Viridiplantae; Streptophyta; Magnoliopsida; Fabales; Fabaceae.
UUUAUUAACAGGGUCUUCUUUGUGGAUCAUUGAUUGCUCAUUAUUAUAAUCAUUGGCCAAUGAAGUUCCCAAAUUUUGGUGUCAAAACUGUUUGUGAUGAGGCACUGAUUAUAGUUUAAAAUUAAGUAAGAGCUAAGACUUAGCAUUCAGUCCUUAGUUACCAAAUUAGCCUUAUCUUUCUUGACUUACCUUUUCUUCAAAUGUUUUAAAGAAAGAGGAAAUUAGGAGGAAGAGGCAUAGUAAGCUGUUAGCAAGGCUUAUGUCUCAUAUACGACGGCUACUUCCCUGUGUGAUUUGUAAGUUUCUCAACUCUUUCAUUUUUCCUCACCACUUGCACUGGACUUUAAACAAAUAUAAAUAAAUUGAUUUAUUUUCAUGCAUUGCUUAAUUUUGUAGUUUGAUUUGCAUUGUGAUUUGUUUGAAGUUUAGUGGUUUUUUUGUACUGUGGUGUACUGGCAUGAUUGUUUUUGGUUAUGUGCUUAUCUAUCUUGUGAAUGUUAUUAAAUUAAAUAGUUCUAAGGAAUUAAUCAGCAACUGAACAUCUUUGAUUUUGGUUCCAGUAUUGGUAUAAAAUAUAGAUUGAUCCUCUGUGCUAAACUUAUACAUGAUACUUCUAGUAAAUAAAUAUUGAUGCAAACACUAAAUUUGUAGUAUAUAAUAUGUUUGUUGCUGUUUUGAUACCUAGGAAUAUUCCAAGUUACAUUGUAUAGUUGGUGCCUUUUCUCUGCAUCUAAAUUUGGACUUGUUGAUUCAUGAUUUCAAGAAAGUUGUUUGUUUAAUUCCAAGAUAAUCACUUAAUGUUGAUGGUUAUAGGGCUCAUGCUUAAACUCUUGGCAUGAUUGCAGUUGAUAUUUUUUGGAUACUAUUGUGCAAUCAGCAGCACUGUAUGGCCUGCUUCUACUUUAUGCAUAAUUGCAACAAUGUAAAA